CGCACGGGUGAGUAACACGUAUCCAACCUGCCGAUGACUCGGGGAUAGCCUUUCGAAAGAAAGAUUAAUACCCGAUGGCAUAGUUCUUCCGCAUGGUAGAACUAUUAAAGGAUUUCGGUCAUCGAUGGGGAUGCGUUCCAUUAGGUUGUUGGCGGGGUAACGGCCCACCAAGCCUUCGAUGGAUAGGGGUUCUGAGAGGAAGGUCCCCCACAUUGGAACUGAGACACGGUCCAAACUCCUACGGGAGGCAGCAUG
Molecule: ribosomal RNA, 255 nt
Filed under: uncultured bacterium
Lineage: Bacteria
Description: partial 16S ribosomal RNA
Rfam family: Bacterial small subunit ribosomal RNA
Source: RNAcentral